AGACCCGAAACCCGGUGAUCUAGCCAUGGGCAGGUUGAAGGUUGGGUAACACUAACUGGAGGACCGAACCGACUAAUGUUGAAAAAUUAGCGGAUGACCUGUGGCUGGGGGUGAAAGGCCAAUCAAACCGGGAGAUAGCUGGUUCUCCCCGAAAGCUAUUUAGGUAGCGCCUCGUGAAUUCAUCUCCGGGGGUAGAGCACUGUUUCGGCUAGGGGGCCAUCCCGGCUUACCAACCCGAUGCAAACUGCGAAUACCGGAGAAUGUUAUCACGGGAGACACACGGCGGGUGCUAACGUCCGUCGUGAAGAGGGAAACAACCCAGACCGCCAGCUAAGGUCCCAAAGUCAUGGUUAAGUGGGAAACGAUGUGGGAAGGCCCAGACAGCCAGGAUGUUGGCUUAGAAGCAGCCAUCAUUUAAAGAAAGCGUAAUAGCUCACUGGUCGAGUCGGCCUGCGCGGAAGAUGUAACGGGGCUAAACCAUGCACCGAAGCUGCGGCAGCGAACGUAUCACCCAAGACAACUUUACGGAGUUGACGAUUGACGGAGCGAAGCGACGUCAAAGCGUUCAUUAAAGUCGAGUUGGCUUAGGGAUACGUUCGUUGGGUAGGGGAGCGUUCUGUAAGCCUGUGAAGGUGUGUCGUGAGGCAUGCUGGAGGUAUCAGAAGUGCGAAUGCUGACAUAAGUAACGAUAAAGCGGGUGAAAAGCCCGCUCGCCGGAAGACCAAGGGUUCCUGUCCAACGUUAAUCGGGGCAGGGUGAGUCGACCCCUAAGGCGAGGCCGAAAGGCGUAGUCGAUGGGAAACGGGUUAAUAUUCCCGUACUUGGUGUUACUGCGAAGGGGGGACGGAGAAGGCUAUGUUGGCCGGGCGACGGUUGUCCCGGUUUAAGCGUGUAGGUGUGUGUUC
Molecule: ribosomal RNA, 905 nt
Filed under: Salmonella enterica
Lineage: Bacteria; Pseudomonadati; Pseudomonadota; Gammaproteobacteria; Enterobacterales; Enterobacteriaceae
Also listed under: 1 other name
Description: partial 23S ribosomal RNA
Rfam family: Bacterial large subunit ribosomal RNA
Source: RNAcentral